This 2290-nucleotide ribosomal RNA is filed under the name Acinetobacter lwoffii. Its description in RNAcentral is "partial 23S ribosomal RNA". It matches the Rfam family "Bacterial large subunit ribosomal RNA", at positions 657 to 2925 of the family's 2925-position model. RNAcentral also lists the same sequence under 1 other name. Lineage: Bacteria; Pseudomonadati; Pseudomonadota; Gammaproteobacteria; Moraxellales; Moraxellaceae. The record is from RNAcentral.
AUAGGGGAGCCGUAGGGAAACCGAGUCUUAAUAGGGCGUUUAGUUGCUGGGUAUAGACCCGAAACCAGGUGAUCUAUCCAUGAGCAGGUUGAAGGUUGGGUAACACUAACUGGAGGACCGAACCCACUGUCGUUGAAAAGCCAGGGGAUGACUUGUGGAUAGGGGUGAAAGGCUAAUCAAACUUGGUGAUAGCUGGUUCUCCCCGAAAGCUAUUUAGGUAGCGCCUCGGACGAAUACCAUUGGGGGUAGAGCACUGUUUCGGCUAGGGGGUCAUCCCGACUUACCAAACCGAUGCAAACUCCGAAUACCAAUGAGUACUAUCCGGGAGACAGACUGCGGGUGCUAACGUCCGUAGUCAAGAGGAAAACAAUCCAGACCGCCAGCUAAGGCCCCAAAAUUAUAGUUAAGUGGGAAACGAUGUGGGAAGGCAUAGACAGCUAGGAGGUUGGCUUAGAAGCAGCCACCCUUUAAAGAAAGCGUAAUAGCUCACUAGUCGAGUCGGCCUGCGCGGAAGAUGUAACGGGGCUAAAACUAUAUGCCGAAGCUGCGGAUGCAUAAUUUAUUAUGCGUGGUAGGGGAGCGUUCUGUAAGCCGAUGAAGGUGGAUUGAGAAGUCUGCUGGAGGUAUCAGAAGUGCGAAUGCUGACGUGAGUAACGACAAUGCGAGUGAAAAACUCGCACGCUGAAAGACCAAGGGUUCCAGUCCAACGUUAAUCGGGGCUGGGUGAGUCGACCCCUAAGGCGAGGCCGAGAGGCGUAGUCGAUGGGAAAUUGGUUAAUAUUCCAAUACUUCUGUGUAAUGCGAUGAGAGGACGGAGAAGGUUAAGUCAGCCUGGCGUUGGUUGUCCAGGUGGAAGGUUGUAGGCAUGUAUCUUAGGCAAAUCCGGGGUACUCUAUGCUGAGAACUGAUAGCAAGCUGUACUUGUACAGUGAAGUGGCUGAUACCAUGCUUCCAGGAAAAGUCUCUAAGCUUCAGUUACACAGGAAUCGUACCCGAAACCGACACAGGUGGUCAGGUCGAGUAGACCAAAGCGCUUGAGAGAACUCUGCUGAAGGAACUAGGCAAAAUGGUACCGUAACUUCGGGAGAAGGUACGCUGUUGUCUGUGAUAGGACUUGCUCCUUGAGCGGGCGACAGCCUCAGAAACCAGGCCCCUGCAACUGUUUAUUAAAAACAUAGCACUCUGCAAACACGAAAGUGGACGUAUAGGGUGUGAUGCCUGCCCGGUGCUGGAAGGUUAAUUGAUGGGGUUAGCGUAAGCGAAGCUCUUGAUCGAAGCCCCAGUAAACGGCGGCCGUAACUAUAACGGUCCUAAGGUAGCGAAAUUCCUUGUCGGGUAAGUUCCGACCUGCACGAAUGGCAUAAUGAUGGGGGCGCUGUCUCCAGCAGAGACUCAGUGAAAUCGAAUUCGCCGUGAAGAUGCGGUGUACCCGCGGCUAGACGGAAAGACCCCGUGAACCUUUACUGCAGCUUGACAUUGAACUUUGAUCUUACUUGUGUAGGAUAGGUGGGAGGCUUUGAAGUCGCGACGCUAGUUGCGAUGGAGCCGUCCUUGAAAUACCACCCUGGUAAUAUUGAGGUUCUAACUCUGUCCCGUUAUCCGGGACGAGGACCAUGUCUGGUGGGUAGUUUGACUGGGGCGGUCUCCUCCUAAAGAGUAACGGAGGAGUACGAAGGUGCGCUCAGCGUGGUCGGAAAUCACGCGUAGAGUAUAAAGGCAAAAGCGCGCUUAACUGCGAGACCCACAAGUCGAGCAGGUACGAAAGUAGGUCUUAGUGAUCCGGUGGUUCUGUAUGGAAGGGCCAUCGCUCAACGGAUAAAAGGUACUCUGGGGAUAACAGGCUGAUACCGCCCAAGAGUUCAUAUCGACGGCGGUGUUUGGCACCUCGAUGUCGGCUCAUCUCAUCCUGGGGCUGAAGCAGGUCCCAAGGGUAUGGCUGUUCGCCAUUUAAAGAGGUACGCGAGCUGGGUUUAGAACGUCGUGAGACAGUUCGGUCCCUAUCUACCGUGGGCGUUGGAAAUUUGAGAGGAUCUGCUCCUAGUACGAGAGGACCAGAGUGGACGAACCUCUGGUGUACCGGUUGUCACGCCAGUGGCAUCGCCGGGUAGCUAUGUUCGGAAGGGAUAACCGCUGAAAGCAUCUAAGCGGGAAGCCUACCUCAAGAUAAGAUUUCCCCGAGACUUUAUGUCUCCUAAAGAGCCGUUGAAGACUACGACGUUGAUAGGUUGGAUGUGGAAGCAUAGUGAUAUGUGAAGCUGACCAAUACUAAUUGCUCGUGAGGCUUGACUAU